GUUCGAGCGUCAUUACAACCCUCAAGCUCUGCUUGGUAUUGGAUGCAAUCACCAUGAUUCGUCUCAAAAUUAGUGGCGGUGCCAUUCGGCUUCCAGCGUAGUAAUUCUCUCGCUGUGGAGAUCCGGGUGUGUGCUUGCCAACAACCCCUAAAUUUUAUAAGGUUGACCUCGGAUCAGGUAGGGAUACCCGCUGAACUUAA
Molecule: unclassified non-coding RNA, 200 nt
Filed under: soil metagenome
Description: partial contains internal transcribed spacer 2 and large subunit ribosomal RNA
Source: RNAcentral